UUAUUUAGUUAGUACAAAGUACUGAAACCAAUGAGAGAAAACUAGUUACCCAUUUCUAUUUGGAAUAUGCCUUUUGUGGCUGAGGAAUAAUCCUUCCAUCACAUGGCAUCUUUGGAACCUAUAAACGGUACCAUAUCCAUACAAAAAAAAAAGAGAUUUUUUUUAGCAUCACUUUUACUGCAAAAAAUCUCUCUUUCCUAUUCUGAAAAGGAUCAGAUCUCAGAAAAAUUCAAAAACUUUCAAACCUCUUAUUUUUAGGUUUUCUAUAAGUUGAGAACAUGGUUUGAAUAGAAAAUUUUCCUAGUUCUCUAGUUGGAGUUUCUGGUUUAAAGCUGGUUUUUGGGUUGCUAUCUGAAUCUCUGGACAUUUUUUUUGGUUUGGUUGUUGCUGCUGUCUACUGCUGAACUUCAGUUCUUGGAUAAAGUUCUAUUGUCUAUUUUGCAACUAAAGGUACACACCCUAAACUCCGUGUUUGGUUGGUUCCACCUUUCUAUCCCUUCAUGCUUUAUGUGUUUGCUGUGAUGUAGUAAUCAUGUAAAGUUGUGGUUGAUUUUGAAAUGGAGACCUUUUAUACUAUUGUCUCUCAUCUGUUUCUUUUUUUUCUGUGUGUUUGAGAAUCUAUUUUGAUAUUCUGUGAUGUUUGAGCGCAAGGCAUAAGUAUAAAAGUGUGCUUAAGGCUAUCAUAUAUUGUUGACAUUAUGUUUAUGGUAAUAUAAGGUCUGAAUAAGUGCAUAUGCCUAUGAAGCUAUAUCUAAAUCCCUCUCUUAUAACAGCACAAAAGGAUUAAAAGGCUUAAUUUAUUCAAUAUGUGUUUAAGUCAUUUCCUCUUUCCCUUUUUUCCUAUUUUACUUAAAUGAGAGCCCUGAACUAAAUCAUGGUUUGGAAAUUUUUACAUGCCUAUAGGGUUAACCUUGAACAUUGUUAGACCUAUUGACUGUGUAUUCUUCCGUUACUCACUAUACUGUUAGGACUAACUUGACAACAUUGUAGGUCCCUUCUGAAGAGAUGCUCUUUUUUGUGAAUUUGACUCUUUCCACAUGGUCAAAUUCACGAAAAUCUUAGUUCAUUCAAGGCUGAAGCAGGGGCAGCUUGGGAUUUUCCUGCUUUUCAUUUGUUGUAAUGAGGUUUAAGACACUAAUGCAUUUCAUAUUCUGUAUUUUAUUCAGUUAUGAAUAUGUAUUAAAUUAGACUGGACUUUAUAAAUUUGUAGAUGAAUUAAUGUAGUUGGGCUCAUACGAAUUCAUGUGGAGUUUAGAAGAAACUAGUGUCAUGAUAAUAGCAGUUUGUUUGCGUGGAUGCUUAUUAUCUAAAGUCAGUUUUGAGCAGUAAAGUAACUUCAAACAUGUUAAAUUGAGGUUCAGGCAUGUAAAUUCAUUGUGUGAUGAUCGAUAUGUUAGUUGUG
Molecule: long non-coding RNA, 1402 nt
Filed under: Nicotiana benthamiana
Lineage: Eukaryota; Viridiplantae; Streptophyta; Magnoliopsida; Solanales; Solanaceae
Description: long non-coding RNA (NBEN_LNC031672)
Source: RNAcentral